RNAcentral lists this microRNA precursor (106 nucleotides) under Canis lupus familiaris (dog). RNAcentral's name for it is "mir-8834 microRNA precursor family". It matches the Rfam family "mir-8834 microRNA precursor family". The record is from Rfam by way of RNAcentral. RNAcentral also lists the same sequence under 1 other name. Lineage: Eukaryota; Metazoa; Chordata; Mammalia; Carnivora; Canidae.
AGGAGGAACAGCAGCAGUGGCGGCGGUCAGCUCUAGAGCCCUGGAGUCAGCUCCCGCAGGAACUCUGGAGCUCUCGGUCUGCAGGGCCUGGAGGCUCCGGGGCGGG